Long non-coding RNA from Cydia pomonella (codling moth), 944 nucleotides. RefSeq lists it as uncharacterized. The record is from RefSeq and is a predicted model, not a curated record. The transcript is spliced from 2 exons. NCBI's taxonomy places the organism in Eukaryota, Metazoa, Arthropoda, Insecta, Lepidoptera, Tortricidae.
CCACACUGCAACUGCUUUUAGCGCAGGAGCCGGAAGAGGCCGGCGCAUACGGGCCCUGGCUGAGGCCGUCGCGCUGAGGGGUCUUGGAGGGGUCCUGCGACCGGUUCGAGGACGGGCUUGGCCUGGAUUUCUCAUCUGCUUUUAUGAGAGUUACCACGUUACCUUGUCCACAUUUGCUCCCUUGCGACGUCGGUGUCUGCGGAUUGUUGAACCCUGGACUCUGUUCUAGUGAAAACCUGCCCGCCCUCUGUUCUGAUAGGGAUGAGUGAGGUUCUGGCGUGCCGGGCAUCAUCCUAUACAAAAAAAAAAUGCCGCAUAAGUAGUAUCUAAUAUACAUUUAAUUAAUAAGAUUAUACAAUUUAAUGGUCCCCAGCAAGCUCAGUUCUCUAUACAAACUUAGUUACGCUCUCAUUUUGAAACGACUAGGCAAUCUAGAUCAAUCUAGGCUCUGAAACUUUGUACGUACAAUAGGAUAAUGUGUAUCUAGUCUAGUAAUAAAUAAUACUUUAGUUUGCAUUAAUAUUUUCAAUGAAUUGUAUUUUAUAAUUGUUGAUAUGCUUGUUUUUGCAUGUAUGUAAAUUCCAUGUUGACGUGUAAAAGUGCCCUUGUGGCCUAUUUGCUGAAUAAAUGUUGAAGUUGAAAAUGUAUGUAGCUUCAGAUACCAUAGUUAAAAAUAUACACCGAAUUUAAGUUUUUCACACAAAACAAGUUUUUGCUUUAUUUCGUUUGUUAUAAAAACUAAUUACAGGGGUGGCUUAUACUGAAAGUCCCCCAAGACCCUUCUCUUCUACUACCUCUUCAUAUCACUAUUGAAGGCAGCAGCUUUUUUUUUUGUAUACUCUUUACUGUCUCCAUGUUUAUGUAUAUUGUAUCUUACUUUAAUAAAUACAUAUUUCUACUAAAAAAAAUAAAAAAAUACAUGGGUGGCUUGUUUGAAUAGUUUU